Molecule: ribosomal RNA, 424 nt
Filed under: uncultured bacterium
Lineage: Bacteria
Description: bacterial SSU rRNA
Rfam family: Bacterial small subunit ribosomal RNA
Source: RNAcentral
GGGGAAUUUUGCGCAAUGGGCGAAAGCCUGACGCAGCAACGCCGCGUGUGUGAUGAAGGUCUUUGGAUUGUAAAGCACUUUCGACCGGGACGAAAACCUUGAGGCUAAUACCCUCAAGCCUGACGGUACCGGGAGAAGAAGCACCGGCUAACUCUGUGCCAGCAGCCGCGGUAAUACAGAGGGUGCAAGCGUUGUUCGGAAUUAUUGGGCGUAAAGCGCGUGUAGGCGGCUUUGCAAGUCGGGUGUGAAAGCCCUCGGCUCAACCGAGGAAGUGCGCUCGAAACUGCAGAGCUUGAGUGCCGGAGAGGGUGGCGGAAUUCCCCAAGUAGAGGUGAAAUUCGUAGAUAUGGGGAGGAACACCGGUGGCGAAGGCGGCCACCUGGACGGUUACUGACGCUGAGACGCGAAAGCGUGGGGAGCAAAC